Molecule: ribosomal RNA, 301 nt
Filed under: uncultured bacterium
Lineage: Bacteria
Description: partial 16S ribosomal RNA
Rfam family: Bacterial small subunit ribosomal RNA
Source: RNAcentral
CAGUCGCCGCGGGAAUACGUAGGUGGCAAGCGUUGUCCGGAAUUAUUGGGCGUAAAGGGCUCGCAGGCGGUUUCUUAAGUCUGUUGUGAAAGCCCUGGGCUCAACCUGGGAAUUGCAGUGGAUACUGGAUCACUAGAGUGUGGUAGAGGAUAGUGGAAUUUCCGGUGUAGCAGUGAAAUGCGUAGAGAUCUGGAGGAAUACCGAUGGCGAAGGCAGCCAUCUGGCCUAAUACUGACGCUGAGGUACGAAAGCAUGGGGAGCAAACAGGAUUAGAUACCCCAGUAGUCCCUGUCUCUUAUAC